AUACGGAGGGGGUUAGCGUUGUUCGGAAUUACUGGGCGUAAAGCGCACGUAGGCGGAUUGGAAAGUUGGGGGUGAAAUCCCAGGGCUCAACCCUGGAACUGCCUCCAAAACUAACAGUCUAGAGUUCGAGAGAGGUGAGUGGAAUUCCAAGUGUAGAGGUGAAAUUCGUAGAUAUUUGGAGGAACACCAGUGGCGAAGGCGGCUCACUGGCUCGAUACUGACGCUGAGGUGCGAAGGCGUGGGGAGCAAACAGGAUUAGAAACCCUUGUAGUCC
RNAcentral lists this ribosomal RNA (274 nucleotides) under uncultured bacterium. RNAcentral describes it as "partial 16S ribosomal RNA". It matches the Rfam family "Bacterial small subunit ribosomal RNA", at positions 523 to 796 of the family's 1533-position model. The record is from RNAcentral.